CUUUCCUCUGACCAUUUGUUCUCUUUUGGCCUCACUCGUCUUCCGUACUCAGCUGCUGUUUGUUGACAUGUCUCCCGUGUUUGUCUGUGACACGUCGGUGACUCGUCUGUGAAUCGCUCGGCGGCACAAUGACCCGAACCCGCUCCAUCGAACCUCGGCCUCUUCUCACAGCUUCACGGACACAGCGGCUCGGAAUGAAGGUCGAUUCCUAACGAGGGACCCGGAAGCGGCUGUUAGCCCGUGCAGCCCCGGAGCUAGCUAGCUAACAGGCUACAUUAGCCGAUGGUAAACAAUGGAGGGGAUCCUGCACAAAUGGACGAACUACAUGACAGGCUGGCAGCCCCGCUGGUUCGUCCUGGAGGACGGAGACAUCUCCUACUACGACAGCGAGGACGACGUUGGUAAAGGAAGCAAAGGAUCCAUCAAGAUGUCCAUGUGUGAGAUUAAAGUUCAUUCAACAGACUCCACCCGUCUGGAGUUGAUCAUCCCCGGCGAGCAGCAUUUCUACGUCAGAGCGGUGAAUGCUGCAGAGAGACAAAGAUGGCUGGUGGCAUUGGGUUCGUCUAAAGCUGGAACACUGGACACUCACAAACACAGAGGUCCCGACUGUCUGAAGACGAAGAUGUCUGAGCUGCGUCUGUACUGCGACCUGCUCGUCCAGCAAGUCCAGACCAUCCAAUCACAGCACAGCACUGACACAGAGACCACAGACACCUCUGAGGCGUCUCUCCUCAGUGCGACCUGUGCUACGUUCAUCAGGACCUUGGAGGAGUGUAUGACCCUGGCCAACCAGAGCUUGAUCCCUGACCUCCGACCUCCUGAAAAGAUGAAGAGGUCGAUCAGUCAUCCUGGAACCUACAGCUUCGACAGGUCGGGUGUGCAGAAGGAGUACGUGAGUGGAGGUCAAAGGUCAACGCAGCGCAGGAACCGGACUUUCUCUGACAGCUCUGUUUACGAUACUGAACGUUUCCUGUCGAGUCCUAACGGCGACCCGUCCUCCAUUCCCGAGGAGCGAGGAGGCAGCACGAGCCCGAAGAACACAGCCACCGACACAGACACUGACUUAUCCAUCUGACAAGCUGACGUCCACCAGAACCUGCUGAGCUCUGGACUCUGACGAGUUUAACGUCACAGUGGAGAUGGUGACAUCAUCUCCAUGGAAGUGAGGACGAACUGGCCUCGAGGGAAAGUUCUUCUUCUUCACACGUGCACUUUGGAAUCAUGGGUCACUUUUCCCUCGAGCCUUGAAAUUAAACGGAACACACUGGAGAGACUUAAAGACGAAUCAACACGUCGCCACAUUCACAGUUCAUAACGACUGUGAAGCUGGAAUCCUGGAAAAAAAACUCUGUGGAUCAACAAGUGAAAGAAAAGUGCAGUUAUAUUAUCAGUGGUUAAGCCCAGUAACCAAAUGAUGACUCCCUGGAAGAGUAUAAAUACACAAAUAACCGUGACAUCCGCUUUUCUGGACAGUUUAGAAGCCAGAGUCGGAUGUUUCACAGUUUUAAAAUUGACCCAAGAAUGUACAGAUAGUUUUUAAAUCAGCAGCCGUGUCACAGAAGCAUCUUCUUCUACAGUAUUUACUGCUUUUUCCACAUAUUCCCCCAAAACUCCGUCCCUCUUCCCUGACAGCUUUGAGGUGGUGAGGUCAGUCAACCAGACUGAUCCUGGAGCAGCUUUGAGACUCAGAGCCGAGGAGUUCAGGUCUUCAGAUGCCAACGAUUGCUUGAAUGCAAAGAUCAGUAAACGUGCCAUUGUGAUAUUCUCCAGAAGACGACCUUCUCCGAGGUUUAGCUGCAAGAACGAGGAAGGAAGGAGGAGGAAGACGAGACUUUGAUUUAUUCUUCCGCUUCCUUUGAGGAGUUUGCACCUUCUCCUGUUUUUUGUUUCUGCUGGGUUGUGUUGUUCUUCCCCACGCUCUCAUUGUGAAUGUGUUGCAAGUUACUGCCUUUUUAACGUGUGUAUUUCCUCAGUGAUUAUUUAGCCUUUUAAAGAUGAUGCCGUCCAAUUAUGACCCUGAACAGAGAGAAGUACGGUGGCCCUGGAGGCUUAACUCACUGCAAAUUAAGCAAACGCAUACAAAUAAAACACAAGACAAGGAAGAAAAAUGAACGGAACAAAUAUUUACUGAAAAAUGACCUUUCAUUUCUGAAGCACGUUUCUGUAUCUGGUUGUUUUUUUGGAAACUUGAUUCUCAGAUUUCAGUUGAGGCCGUUUGCAGAUUUGUUAUCUUCGUGAGUCACUUUCUGCCGGGAGCUUUACACUCAGCUGCCAAAACAAACAACUUUGUAAAGUAUUUCUACAACAGUGACGCCGGAGGAAUCAGUGUCCACAGCUAACGAAUUGAAAAAAGUAUUAUAGGUCAAUCACAUUAAUUACUAAUGCCUUAUAAAUCAAAACAUUAAUGAGGAAAGCUUUUGUGUUGACAGGUUGUGAAGAAGAUGAAAAUAAUAAGUGGUUGAACAAUUUAAGAUUCAACAAAACAAGCUGAGGAGUUUUUCCCCAAACCUGGAAACUUUUAAAAGUUGUUUGUAUCCGAACUCAUUUUUCGAGGCAGUGAAAGACGAACAGACAGAACGUGUGGAUCUCUGCCCUCGAUGAAUCUCCUCCAGAAGUGUUGUGACACGUUUCACUGUUCAAACACUCACGAACAUCUUCACCUGAACGCAAAGCAAACAGGCGUGAAAGGAACCAAUCACACGCAGAAUCAUUAUGUGGUAACUGCUCAACUGAGCGUCUGAAGGAUCCUGUUUCUGUGCCGGGGUUUCCAGCUGCUUCACCUGUAAAUCCUCACAUGUAACCUUCUCACGGGACAGUUAACUCCUCCUCGUUUGGGACAAAACAAAACUUAAUGCUUUGUGUAUUUUAUUUACCCUUAAAGACACAAAGGCGUGACCACAGCUGUCGUACCUGAAGCCACGUGAGAAUCGGCAGUUGGUUUCUCUUCUGGUUCCAAACACUGAGAAUAAUAAGUUGAACAUAUAUCAUCGAUAACCUCACGAACAGAAGCCGGUUCCUGAAGCAGCUGUUGAAAUAAACCCAGUUUCCUGGAGCUGAAGACGAGAACGGGAAACAACAACUACAGAGCAGCGAUGUGAGGAAAGAAUGAGUGAAGCAAUCAGAGGUGGAGAGAAAACUACAGGACUCAUGUCAGAGUCCAGAGACUCGACUGACGAUCAGUCUGCAGACACAAACACACAACUGAAGACCAGAUCCAGCCCGGUGCCCCUCAGCCUGGCUCGCUGUGCCGCCUGCUACAACCACAAGUCCAGCACCGUGUCCUGGCGCGGGGACGCCGGCGAGUCCAGCUCCUCGGCCGAAGACUCGGGUCCAGAGGUGGAGGACGAGGAGUCGGAGGCAGAGUCCAGCUCCUCCAGCUCCAGCAGCUGCAGGAGCUCCGCGACCGAGGAGCCUGAACCCGAGAGGAGUGGAGAUGCUGCUGAGGAGGAAUCCAGAGGAGAUGGAGGAGAGGGAGGAGGAGGAGGAGGAGGAGGAGGAGAGGGAGGAGGAGGAGGAGGAGGAGGAGGAGAGGGAGGUGAUGAGACGGUUGAGACGUUAAACAGACAAGAGCCUCCCUCCCUGACUCCUCACCUCCUCCCUCGCUCCUUCCUGCCUCGCCCCCCUCAGGUCGUCUCCACCCUCCACCUGCAGGUGCUCCCUCAGAACUGUGGUGAUGAUGAAACGCUCUUCAACAUCCGAGAGCUCCGGCCUGAGAGAGAGGAGGAGCAAACACAGGGGGGUUACGGAGGAGGAGGAGGAAGAGGAGGAGGAGGAGGAGGAGGAAGAGGAGGAGGAGGAGGAGGAGGAAGCAUCUACAAGCUUCUGCCUCCACAGCCGCAUCAGUACCAGCAGAUGAUGAUACCAUGGCAAAAUAUGUCACAACAAACAAUACAACAACAUCUUCAUCAUCAACAACAACAACUUCAGAGAUCUGGACACCUCUCAGCUCAGGGUCAAAGGUUACCACCUCCCUCAUGCACAGGCCCCCCCACACCGUGCAUGCCGCUGUGGGCACCGAACCCACCACAGACACACACACACACACUCACUCUGCAGCCAUGUUGGCACUGUCGCUACGUGCACCCCCCAAACACACACUGCAGCUAUUAACAAGGUGAGUCCGACUGUGUAGCAGUGGACCGGACCGUGUGUGUGUGUGUGUGUGUUUGUUUGUGUGUUUGUGUGUGUUCUGUGUUGACGUGGUGGAAAUAUUGUGAUGUCUUAUUGUGUGCCUCUAAUUAAAUGUGUUAACAAUUUGCUUUGUUUUGAUUAAAAUGUGAUAUUUCUGUGACAUCAGAAAACAAGUUCAGUGAAAUCUUAAUUAUUUGUGUUUGUAUGAAUUUCGUAGUAAACAAUCCAGCAGUGUAGAGAUACUUCUGUCUGGACGAGAGAUACUUCUACUCUUCUUCUGUUUCUUUACUACGACAAGUAUUUAAUGAAUCAAAUGAAAACACUUCCUCCGGUUCAGCUCUGACGUGUGAAGAAGAAAUCGACUUUUACAGUAACUGAUAAGUGUAGAGAGUGUAGAGAGCAGGUGAGAUAAAAAAGACACAGCUGUCGUUUCUGUCUGACGUUCAGUUUCCACACACAGAUACACAAACACAGACAAAGACACAAACACACACAAAGACACAAACACAAGAGGCUCUUUGUGUGAUGUGUGUGAGGUUUGUUCCACCUACAGUAGCCAGUAAGUCUCUCCAGAUGGCUCCACUGAGACAAAGUGUUUCCACUGAGACUGCCAACAACACACACACACACACACACACACACACACACACACACACACACAAACCCAUAAAAACACACACACAGUGAAAAUGAUGCAGGAGAAGAAGAAUUGUUGGAGAGAUUUUAAGUUUCCUGCCUGAAGGUGAUGAUUUUUGUGCGUUUAGUGAACGUGUUAGUCUCAUUUAAUCAUUGGUCAAAUGUUACUGUCACAGAGACAGUUGUGUGUUAAUUUGUGUGUGUUUGUUUGCUUGUUUGUUAGUUAGCAGAGUUACACAAAGGAGCAAUGUAAAAAAUAAAUAAAACAACACGUUAAAUGAAUAAACACAUUUUUAAGAAA
Pleuronectes platessa (European plaice) is the source of this 5068-nucleotide RNA transcript. It is a transcript of the gene named pleckstrin homology domain containing, family A (phosphoinositide binding specific) member 3, with no coding region annotated. The record is from RefSeq and is a predicted model, not a curated record. Lineage: Eukaryota; Metazoa; Chordata; Actinopteri; Pleuronectiformes; Pleuronectidae. The transcript is spliced from 12 exons.